This is a long non-coding RNA of Drosophila obscura, 740 nucleotides long. RefSeq lists it as uncharacterized. NCBI's taxonomy places the organism in Eukaryota, Metazoa, Arthropoda, Insecta, Diptera, Drosophilidae. The transcript has 3 exons. The record is from RefSeq and is a predicted model, not a curated record.
AGACAGAAGAUUUUGUAUAUCCUGAGUUGAAAAAGCUGGAAAUUUCGUCUUGCGAAAUAUACCCAUACGUAUUACCCACCUGUCCGAAGCUCAAAUCGUUGAUAUUGUGUUUUAAUGAAUAUAAAAAUAACGUUAAAAUACAAGAUAUUACAACAAAGUACGCAAAGACGCUGGAACGCUUAAAAAUCAGAAAAUACCCUGUGGGAAUUAAAUUCAAUAAUUUAAUAGAAGUUCUCAGAGAGUGUACAAAAGUGCAGCACCUUUGUAUAGACUUUGUAAUUCCAACAUUUUGCCAAAACCUGGACUCUUUUAUUGAAGUAUUAAAGGCUAAUGGCUUCAAUCCACAAAGACUUUUUGAAUUGGCAUUCAUUUAUAAUGACCACUGUACUCUGCGCAAAUUGGAGACAGAACAUGCAAACUCCGAUGUGUGGAAUUUAAUUAAAAUUACCGGAUUGUAUUGAAGAAUAAAUAAAAAGCUAGUUAAUACCACGCCCCUCCCCAGACACAUCUGUUGGUCUCGUGCAAGCUCGAUUGCCUAACCAAAACCAAACAAAGCUUCUCCUACCCACCAGCCGCACAGAGAGAUCUCGACUAAAUUACGUGCCAAUCAACCACUUGGAAGAUGACAAUGGGCCGGAGACGAUAAGACGGAGACAAGGCGACAAUGCGACACGGCUGUCUACGCAGGACAAACUUAUUUGUUUAACAGACAGACAGACGGACGCGUACUGCGAGACAAG